UACGGGGGGGGGCACGCGUUGUUCGGAAUUACUGGGCGUAACGGGCGCGUAGGCGGUCAGAUAAGUCAGCUGUGAAAACCUCGGGCUUAACCCGAGGCCUGCAGUUGAAACUGUUUGGCUGGAGUGUGGGAGAGGAGAGUGGAAUUCCCGGUGUAGCGGUGAAAUGCGUAGAUAUCGGGAAGAACACCCGUGGCGAAGGCGGCUCUCUGGGACGGUACUGACGCUGAGACGCGAAAGCGUGGGGAGCGAACAGG
This 254-nucleotide ribosomal RNA is filed under the name uncultured bacterium. RNAcentral's name for it is "partial 16S ribosomal RNA". It matches the Rfam family "Bacterial small subunit ribosomal RNA", at positions 524 to 776 of the family's 1533-position model. The record is from RNAcentral.